UUCAUUCCCCGCCCCUUUGUUCGCCGUGAGAGUAACGCUGUGAAUUAAAAGAAAUGACAAUAUUUCGUAUCUGCUCGCCCGGCCAGGAGAAGGGCUCUUGAGCCUGGCAAAAAUCAGGCGGAUCAUUCAUCGUGCCACCCCGCACCUGUGGGCUUGGCAUUGAAAACCCCGCGGACCUCUUCCUAUUCAACUUAAUUAUUCCCCUAAGGCGCACAAUGGUUGAAAUGGAGCAGGCAGCUGCAGUCCAGGACCCAGAAGCACAAAAAGAACAAGUUUGAAAUACCAGGUGCAUCCGAGAGAACCACGACAGGGAUUGAUAUGUUAUAGCCCAGGACAUGAACCUAGCAAUAAAGAUAUCAUUGCGAUUGUUUGCGGCUUCCACGCCAUGUAAAGCCGGAGGCGCCGGAGCAGGCUGCUUUCUGGCAGCGGAGCCUCUGCCUCCCCGGGCUCCCCCGGCGCCCUCCGCCAAACCCGAGCACCUGUUGGCCAGACCCCGGCCCCGUCGUGGGAAUCGCCUCCCGCCCACGCUUCCAGAGGAUUGUCGGUUUCGGUAAUUAAGUCGUCUUUACACCUGGAGCAUCACGAGUGAUGCUGGUUCCGGAAGCACAGCAUCAGCCCGCACACCUAGACCCCGCACCUCCCUCCUGUGAGACUGCGGGAAGCGAACUGCCUGCAAGUGCCUUUAACACUCCCUCCUACCCCAAGCGGGGCUGAGGGUUUCACCCCCGCUUUUGUUCUCUUCUCCCCUGCUUUCCAGCUCCCGCGGGGCUGCGGGCAGCGGCCGAGGGAGGCGGGACAGUCCCGGCUCCCGGGCGGGCCUCCCCCGCCUCCCCGGGCCGCCGUCGGGGCAGUGCUGGC
Cyanistes caeruleus (blue tit) is the source of this 858-nucleotide non-coding RNA. Lineage: Eukaryota; Metazoa; Chordata; Aves; Passeriformes; Paridae. The record is from RefSeq and is a predicted model, not a curated record.